RNAcentral lists this long non-coding RNA (1428 nucleotides) under Anser cygnoides (Swan goose). RNAcentral describes it as "lncRNA (ENSACDG00005008773.1)". The record is from RNAcentral. Lineage: Eukaryota; Metazoa; Chordata; Aves; Anseriformes; Anatidae.
GGUAAUGUUCAGGUACGGCAGCUAUGCCCUACCCUGAAAGCCUCUUCCAUGCUGUACAUAUUCUUGAAAAUGGGAAUGUUAGUUAAACUUUCCCAGUUUCUUUAGGAAAUUGCAACACACCCUAACCGUACCUCGUAACCCUAAUCCUAUUCCCUAACGCUAACACUAAACUUAAAAAUAACCCUAAACCUAAUCGUAACUCUAUACCUAAACCUAAUCCUAAACCUAACGAUAACACUACUACUAAUUCUAAGCCAAACCCUAACCCUAACCCUAACCCUAACCCUAACCCUAACCCUAACCCUAACCCUAACCCUACCCCUAACCCUAACCCUAACCCUAACCCUAACCCUAACCCUAACCCUAACCCUAACCCUAACCCUAACCCUAACCCUAACCCUAACCCUAACCCAACUCUAAAUCCCUAACUCUAACCCUAGCUCCUAACCCUAACCGUAGCCCAAACCCAACACUAAGCCUAAUCCUAACCCUAAAGCUAACCCUAACCCUUACCAUAACCCUAAGCCUAACCCUAACCCUAAACCUAUCCCUAAACCUAAGCCUAAGCCUAACCCUAAACCUAAGCCUAAACCUAAGCCUAAACCUAAGCCUAACCGUAACCCUAACCUAAGUGUCUCCAGUCCACUCUAUGCUCCGCACUAUUCCUUAGAGUCAGCACAGCAGGUUCCGCCAGUAGGAUAGCACGUAAGGUUGGAAGGCUAGGUAAUGUUCAGGUACGGCAGCUAUGCCCUACCCGGAAAGCCUCUUCCAUUCUGUACAAAUUCUUGAAAACGGGAAUAUUAGUUUAAUUUUCCUAGUUUCUUUAGGAAAUUGCAACACAUCCUAACCGUACCCCUAACCCUAUCCCCUAACGCUAACCCUAGCCUUAAAAUUAACCCUAAACCUAAUCCUAAAUCUAUCCCUAAACCUUAACCUAAACCUAACCCUAGCACUAAUACUAACUCUAACUCAAACCCUAAUCCUAACUCUAACCCUAAUACUAACCCUAAGCCAAAACAAAACUUAAUCCUAAUGCUAAUACUGUCUCUAACCCUCACACUAACCCUAAAUCCCUAACUGUAAACAAAACACCUAACCGUAAAGCUAAAUCUAACCCUAACCCUAAUACUAACCCUAAGUCUAACCCGAACCAAAAUACCUAAACCUAAAAAUAACCCUAAGAGUAGCCCUAGCCCUAAUUUAACCCUAAACCUAAGCCUAACCCCUAACCCUAACCCUAACCCUAACCCUAAGCCUAAGCCUAACCCCUAACCGUAACUUUAACCCUAAUCCUAACCCUAGCCCUAACCCUAACCUUAACGGAGCUAACCCUAACCCUAAACCCUAACCAUAACCCUAAUCCUAACCCCUAACCCUAACCUUUACCCUUAACCCUACCGCUACCAACCCUAAAUCGCUAACCCUAAA